Molecule: ribosomal RNA, 467 nt
Filed under: uncultured bacterium
Lineage: Bacteria
Description: partial 16S ribosomal RNA
Rfam family: Bacterial small subunit ribosomal RNA
Source: RNAcentral
GACGAACGCUGGCGGCGUGCUUAACACAUGCAAGUCGAACGGAAAGGCCUCUUUCGGGGGGUACUCGAGUGGCGAACGGGUGAGUAACACGUGAGUAACCUGCCCUUGCCUUUGGGAUAACUUCAGGAAACUGGGGCUAAUACCGGAUAGGAGCUCCUGCUGCAUGGUGGGGGUUGGAAAGUUUCGGCGGUUGGGGAUGGACUCGCGGCUUAUCAGCUUGUUGGUGGGGUAGUGGCUUACCAAGGCUUUGACGGGUAGCCGGCCUGGGAGGGUGACCGGCCACAUUGGGACUGAGAUACGGCCCAGACGCCUACGGGAGGCAGCAGUGGGGAAUAUUGCACAAUGGGUGGAAGCCUGAUGCAGCAACGCCGUGUGCGGGAUGACGGCCUUCGGGUUGUAAACCGCUUUCGCUCAUGACGAAGCUUUGUGUGACGGUAGUGGGUAAAGAAGCACCGGCUAACUACGUG